RNAcentral lists this ribosomal RNA (371 nucleotides) under uncultured bacterium. RNAcentral's name for it is "bacterial SSU rRNA". It matches the Rfam family "Bacterial small subunit ribosomal RNA", at positions 524 to 897 of the family's 1533-position model. The record is from RNAcentral.
UACGGAGGAUCCAAGCGUUAUCCGGAUUUAUUGGGUUUAAAGGGAGCGUAGGUGGAGGCUUAAGUCAGUUGUGAAAGUUUGCGGCUCAACCGUAAAAUUGCAGUUGAUACUGGGUUUCUUGAGUACAGUAGAGGUGGGCGGAAUUCGUGGUGUAGCGGUGAAAUGCUUAGAUAUCACGAAGAACUCCAAUUGCGAAGGCAGCUCACUAGACUGGCACUGACACUGAUGCUCGAAAGUGUGGGUAUCAAACAGGAUUAGAUACCCUGGUAGUCCACACAGUAAACGAUGAAUACUCGCUGUUUGCGAUAUACAGUAAGCGGCCAAGCGAAAGCAUUAAGUAUUCCACCUGGGGAGUACGCCGGCAACGGUGA